CUGUGGAUAUACAACCUCGACACCGAAUGUUUCAAACUGCUGGACUGUAAUGUCGACGAACCGUGCUGUGACGUCAAGAUCAACCGCUGUACGUGGCUCAUAUACGUGGCCUAUCCUGAUGAUCCGGUUCUUGACAUUUUCAACCACACUACCUGUGAAAAGGAAGGAAACUUGACCUACACUACGUCCACCCCAAAGGAAUGUCCGAGGCUGGAGUUCAAGCCACCCUGUCCCUAAGGAGAGCCAGGCACAAACCACGGACCAUCUCCGCCACCAGGACCUGGACUUUAAAAGAAGACAAGCAAGAUUCGUAGA
This is a long non-coding RNA of Haliotis rubra (blacklip abalone), 315 nucleotides long. RefSeq lists it as uncharacterized. NCBI's taxonomy places the organism in Eukaryota, Metazoa, Mollusca, Gastropoda, Lepetellida, Haliotidae. The record is from RefSeq and is a predicted model, not a curated record. The transcript is spliced from 4 exons.